CCCCUCCUCUCAUGCAUUUUUGUUCUCAUGUCCCCUUUGUGCCCAUUCUGUUCCUCUUCAUUAUAUUACAGGCACCAAACAGUUGCUGAGGAGAGGGGGACAAUCACUACCUUCAAUCUACUUACUGGCUACCUUCCUUUAAACUUAGCUCAGGCUACUGUCCCAUAGUCUUUGCUGCUGAAACACACUGUUCCUCACAUCUAGCUUGUUGUCUACCAAGAAUUCCAGACCUUUUUCAGCAGAGCUUCCCCCAGACAGUCAACCUCAGUCUGGGUACACGGCUUUGUACUUGUUCCUGGUGAAUUUCAUAAGGUUUCCGCUGGCCCUUUCUUCCAGUCCAAGUCGUACCUCUGAAAGGCAGCCUUGCCUUCAAGCUUGUCAGCUGUUUCUCCCCGUUUGUCCACAGAUGGGCCAAGAGUGCACUCCCUUGCCUCCUGCAAGUGGCUGAUAAAUGUAUGGAACAAGACAGGGCACAGGAUAUACUUUUGCAGUGCCCUCCUUAUGACCUGCUGCCUUCUGAGCCCAAUCAUCACACGGCAUUCCAGCAGGAAGAGACUACAGCUCUGUUUAGAUUUUUAAUGGGAGGGUCUCGAAGGGCUGAAACAGAAACAGACAGCACUCAUGAUGCUGGUUUUGUUGUCGCUGGGCACAAUACUUUCAUUUCAUGUGUUUUUAGAGCUUUUUUCAGAGUUGUGCACCUUAGCGUCUUACUUGCUGUUUGUUAUAGUUCAUACGCAGUUUGUCACCUCUGGGCAUUGGGUUAAAGAUAUCGCUCUUUUGCUUACAAUUAGUUUAUAGUACUUAAAAUAAUUGAUUGCAAGGAUAGCAGGCGGAGUUCAGCCGUGACAGCAGCGGUAGCUUCAUCUGCGUACCUGGGGAGCCGUCUAGUGGACGUUAUUUGUAAUUACACCGUUUGUUUUACUUCCAGAAGACGAGCUCUUGGGGAAAUAUCUUUUCACAGCUUCCCCUCCUCCUCCAGGAUUAAUGGAGAACUGACUUCAGCAACUUCCAGCAGCCCAGCAACUUCCUCAAGAUUGACUUCACUAUAAAUCAAGAAGUUUUCUGGGAACGCUCUCUUCCUUUUUGUAUUCUGCCCUCCUAACAUGGUCUCUUGGUCCUGACGAUCCUGGUCCUCCAAGUUCAACUGCCACAUUUCCUGGUCUUUCUGUGACAGCUGUGACACCUGCAGCCACUGGAACUGCUGUGCUCUUUGCAUUGGCCAUUGCUAGGAGUAUGCAUUCCAUGGCUACUAUUCAGGGGGCUUCCUUUCCUUCUCUGAUUCUCUUUCUCCAGGUGCUGGGGAACUGGAUGAGGGAGUGGCUGCCUAUUGUUUAGCCUCUGACUAAAAGCACUAAACUGGGACAAGACCAAAGAGCUGAAAUACUGCAAUACACACCAGAAAAGUGAGACAUCUUUGCCCACGUUUAACAGAGCUCCUAAAAUAUGCUACCAGAGAGAAUAAAGGACAACUUUUCUUUCUCAGCAAGGCACUGAUGCUCACAAACCUAAGGAAAAUUCUGUCCUCCUAUCUCGUUCUGGUGAAGCUUACAGCGCUGCUUGAGCACUCCUUCAGCGAGUGGUGGAAGAACUACAGGUGAUGGAGUUAAGGCCAAGUGUAUGAAUCCCAUUCUUUAUUCACUUGGGAAGGGAAGAAUAAACCUGCCUGCAAAAAGAUCACUGAGCCACUUGAAAUCCCAUGGUAUUUCUACUGCAGCGUUGAAAUAUGGAUGUGGGCAGAGCAUCUUUCUGACAAACAUCUGGCACUAAACAUAAGCUGUUCAGAGGGCACUUCUCCAGGGCUAUGCACUGUGCUUUGUGAAGGGGUUGAUAUGUUUUCACCAUAUACUUCUGUUCUACUAAGAAGAACCAGGGGUGGGACAUAAGAGCACUACAUAGAAAUGUUUACUUGUGCUACACAUCUGGAAAAGUAGCAUUUGCUUAUUAUUUAAGUUAA
Molecule: long non-coding RNA, 1954 nt
Organism: Cuculus canorus (common cuckoo)
Lineage: Eukaryota; Metazoa; Chordata; Aves; Cuculiformes; Cuculidae
Exons: 6
Source: RefSeq, a predicted model, not a curated record